RNAcentral lists this ribosomal RNA (529 nucleotides) under uncultured bacterium. RNAcentral's name for it is "bacterial SSU rRNA". It matches the Rfam family "Bacterial small subunit ribosomal RNA", at positions 983 to 1509 of the family's 1533-position model. The record is from RNAcentral.
GACAUCCAGAGAAUUUAGCAGAGAUGCUUUAGUGCCUUCGGGAACUCUGAGACAGGUGCUGCAUGGCUGUCGUCAGCUCGUGUUGUGAAAUUGUUGGGUUAAAGUCCCGNAACGAGCGCAACCCUUAUCCUUUGUUGCCAGCACGUAAUGGUGGGAACUCAAAGGAGACUGCCGGUGAUAAACCGGAGGAAGGUGGGGAUGACGUCAAGUCAUCAUGGCCCUUACGAGUAGGGCUACACACGUGCUACAAUGGCGCAUACAAAGAGAAGCGACCUCGCGAGAGCAAGCGGACCUCAUAAAGUGCGUCGUAGUCCGGAUUGGAGUCUGCAACUCGACUCCAUGAAGUCGGAAUCGCUAGUAAUCGUAAAUCAGAAUGUUACGGUGAAUACGUUCCCGGGCCUUGUACACACCGCCCGUCACACCAUGGGAGUGGGUUGCAAAAGAAGUAGAUAGCUUAACCUUCGGGAGGGCGUUUACCACUUUGUGAUUCAUGACUGGGGUGAAGUCGUAACAAGGUAGGCGUAGUGCU